RNAcentral lists this ribosomal RNA (471 nucleotides) under uncultured bacterium. RNAcentral describes it as "bacterial SSU rRNA". It matches the Rfam family "Bacterial small subunit ribosomal RNA", at positions 719 to 1197 of the family's 1533-position model. The record is from RNAcentral.
AGGUGGCCCCCUGGACGAAGACUGACGUUCAGGUGCGAAAGCGUGGGGAGCAAACAGGAUUAUAUACCCUGGUAGUCCACGCCGUAAACGAUGUCGACUUGGAGGUUGUGCCCUUGAGGCGUGGCUUCCGGAGCUAACGCGUUAAGUCUACCGCCUGGGGAGUACGGCCGCAAGGUUAAAACUCAAAUGAAUUGACGGGGGCCCGCACAAGCGGUGGAGCAUGUGGUUUAAUUCGAUGCACCGCGAAAAACCUUACCUGGUCUUGACAUCCACGGAAGUUUUCAGAGAUGAGAAUGUGCCUUCGGGAACCGUGAGACAGGUGACUGCAUGGCUGUCGUCAGCUCGUGUUGUAUAAUGAUGGGUUAAGUCCCGAACGAGCGCAACCCUUAUCCUUUGUUGCCAGCGGUCCGGCCGGAACUCAAAGGAGACUGCCAGUGAUAACUGGAGGAAGUGAUGACUCAAGUCAUUAUG